GUUUCCGUAGGUGAACCUGCGGAAGGAUCAUUAUUGAACAAACUUGGUCGGGUUGUUGCUGGCACUCUAUGGGGGCAUGUGCACGCUUGUCAUCUUUAUUUUUCCACCUGUGCACUUUUAUGUAGACUUUUGGAAUAUCUUUCGUGGGGUCACACUCUCGGUUUCGAAGGGGAGUGUCACAGCUUGGCUUCCUUCGUAUUUCCUCGGUCUAUGCUUUUCAUAUACUCCUUAAUGUAUGUAUUACAGAAUGUCUUGUUAUUGGCCUUUGUGCCUUUAAUCUAUAUACAACUUUCAGCAACGGAUCUCUUGGCUCUCGCAUCGAUGAAGAACGCAGCGAAAUGCGAUAAGUAAUGUGAAUUGCAGAAUUCAGUGAAUCAUCGAAUCUUUGAACGCACCUUGCGCUCCUUGGUAUUCUGAGGAGCAUGCCUGUUUGAGUGUCAUUAAAUUCUCAAUCUUACCUUCUUUUGAAAUAGAGUUGGGAUAUGGCUUGGAUUGUGGGGGUUUUACCUUUGCGGGCUUCAUGCUGGAAGGUCGGCUCCCCUUAAAUGUAUUAGCGGGUCCCUUCUGUUGAAUCUGUCUAUCCUGGUGUGAUAAUUAUCUACGCUUUUGGGCUUUCUGGUUUUUUAUAUAUGGGGGUGUUCUGCUUCUAACUUGUAUCACCCUAUUUUACUUGGGGGGGAACCCUAAUAAUGACCAUUUUGACCUCAAAUCCGGUAGGACUACCCGCUGAACUUAAGCAUAUCAAUAAGCGGAAGAAAAGAAACAGCUACAACCAAGGAUUCCCCUAAAAACUGGGAAGGGAAGGGGGAAAAA
RNAcentral lists this ribosomal RNA (813 nucleotides) under Termitomyces sp. BAB-5049. RNAcentral's name for it is "eukaryotic LSU rRNA". The stretch from base 287 to 440 matches the Rfam family "5.8S ribosomal RNA". Lineage: Eukaryota; Fungi; Basidiomycota; Agaricomycetes; Agaricales; Lyophyllaceae. The record is from RNAcentral.